CUAGACAAGUUAAUUGUGUUCCCAAACAACUUAACUGUGUUCCUAGACAACUGUGUUCCUAGACAAGUUAACUGUGUUCACAGACAACUUAACUGUGUUCCUAGACAACUGUAUUCCUAGAUAAGUUAACUGUGUUCCUAGACAAGUUAACUGUGUUCACAGACAAUUUAACUGGGUUCCUAGACAAGUUAACUGUGUUCCCAAAUAACUUAACUGUGUUCCUAAAUAACUGUGUUCCUAGACAAGUUAACUGUGUUCACAAACAACUUAACUGUGUUCCUAGACAAGUUAACUGUGUUCCCAAAUAACUUAACUGUGUUCCUAAACAACUGUGUUCCUAGACAAGUUAACUGUGUUCACAGACAACUUAACUGUGUUCCUAGACAAGUUAACUGUAUUCCUAGACAAGUUAACUGUAUUCACAGACAACUUAACUGUGUUCACAGACCUGGGGUCGACCCCUGCUCACCUGGAGUUGACCCCUUAACAGCACGAGUCGACCCCUGCUCACCUGGAGUCGACUCUCUCAGGCUUUCCAGAGAGCUGUUUUUCUGCCUGAUUUCAGGGGUCGACUCCAGCUCUUUAGGGGUCGACCCCAGCUCUUCAGGGGUCGACCCCAGCUCAGCAUAAGUCUACAAUAAUUUUCAAAUAACACUUAACUGUGUGCACAGUUCUAUUUACUGUGUUCGCAGACAAAAUAAUUAUGUUCCGAAAUAAAUAACUGUGUGCACAGUCUAAAUAAUUGUGUUCCGAGGUAGAAUAAGUGUGUUCCAGGAUGAUUUAACUGUGUUCCAAGCUUAUUUAACUAUGUGUCAUCCUAGAUUAAGUGUGUUCCAAACUUAUUUAACUGUGUGUCAUCCUAGAUUAAGUGUGUUCUAAAGUCCGUUGGUUCCCUCGGUGGGAUUAGUUCCAACAACCCCUACGGACUUAACCGAAUACUACCUGAACCAACUAGAUCUCCGCCUUUAAACUUAUUUAACUGUGUUCCAAGCUUAUUUAACUUUAUUUUUAUUUUUUCUUUUUUUUCUUCUAUUCUUCCCUUCUU
Molecule: long non-coding RNA, 1045 nt
Filed under: Phoenix dactylifera (date palm)
Lineage: Eukaryota; Viridiplantae; Streptophyta; Magnoliopsida; Arecales; Arecaceae
Description: long non-coding RNA (PDAC_LNC007864)
Source: RNAcentral